Molecule: ribosomal RNA, 728 nt
Filed under: uncultured bacterium
Lineage: Bacteria
Description: bacterial SSU rRNA
Rfam family: Bacterial small subunit ribosomal RNA
Source: RNAcentral
GGCGGCGAGUGGCGAACGGGAGAGAAAUGCAUCCGAACGUGCCCAGGAGGGGGAGAUAACCCAUCGAAAGGUGCGCUAAUCCCGCAUACUACCUAAGGGUGAAAGCGGGGGACCGUAAGGCCUCGCGCUAUUGGAGCGGCCGAUGUCUGAUUAGCUAGUUGGUGGGGUAAAAGCCUACCAAGGCGACGAUCAGUAGCUGGUCUGAGAGGACGAUCAGCCACACUGGGACUGACACACGGCCCACACUCCUACGGGAGGCAGGAGUGGGGAAUUUUGGACAAUGGGCGAAAGCCUGAUCCAGCUAUGCCGCGUGUGCAAAGAAGGCCUUCGGGUUGUAAAGCUUUUUUGUCGGGAAAGAAAUCUUUCGGGCUAAUACCCCUGGAAGGAUGACGGCACCCGAAGAAACAGCACCGGAUAACUACGUGCCAGCCGCCGCGAUAAUACGUGGGGUGCAAGCGUUAAUCGUUAUUACUGGGCGUAAAGCGUGCGCAGGCUGUUUGAUAAAACAGUCAUGACAUCCCCGGGCUCAACCUGGGAACUGCUAUUGUGACUGGCAAGCUAGCAGUACAGAGGAGGGGGGGUGUAUUUCCUGGUGUAGCAAUGAAAUGCUAUGAGAUCAGGAGCAACACCGAUGGAGAAGGCCCCCCCCUGGUCUAGUACUGAUCUCAUGAAGACGCGUGAGCACAAAACAAUAUAGAUACCCUGGUACUCCACCCCCUAAACGAUGU